Molecule: ribosomal RNA, 581 nt
Filed under: Companilactobacillus farciminis
Lineage: Bacteria; Bacillati; Bacillota; Bacilli; Lactobacillales; Lactobacillaceae
Description: bacterial SSU rRNA
Rfam family: Bacterial small subunit ribosomal RNA
Source: RNAcentral
UUGCUUCUUGAUUCAGAUUUUGGUGAGUGGCGGACGGGUGAGUAACACGUGGGUAACCUGCCCAAAAGUGGGGGAUAACAUUUGGAAACAAGUGCUAAUACCGCAUAACAACUGCUUUCACAUGAUCGCAGCUUGAAAGAUGGCUCUGCUAUCGCUUUUGGAUGGACCCGCGGCGUAUUAGCUAGUUGGUGAGGUAAUAGCUCACCAAGGCAAUGAUACGUAGCCGACCUGAGAGGGUAAUCGGCCACAUUGGGACUGAGACACGGCCCAAACUCCUACGGGAGGCAGCAGUAGGGAAUCUUCCACAAUGGGCGAAAGCCUGAUGGAGCAAUGCCGCGUGAGUGAAGAAGGUUUUCGGAUCGUAAAACUCUGUUGUUGAAGAAGAACAUGCGUGAGAGUAACUGUUCACGUACUGACGGUAUUCAACCAGAAAGCCACGGCUAACUACGUGCCAGCAGCCGCGGUAAUACGUAGGUGGCAAGCGUUGUCCGGAUUUAUUGGGCGUAAAGAGAAUGUAGGCGGUUUAUUAAGUUUGAAGUGAAAGCCCUCGGCUCAACCGAGGAAGUGCUUCGAAAACUGGU